RNAcentral lists this long non-coding RNA (307 nucleotides) under Pongo abelii (Sumatran orangutan). RNAcentral's name for it is "lincRNA". Lineage: Eukaryota; Metazoa; Chordata; Mammalia; Primates; Hominidae. The record is from RNAcentral.
AUAUACCUUUCCAAGAUAUUUGAUGAUUUCACAUGGUAUUAGGUUUAUCCAGGAUGAUCAUUAAAUUGAGCCAAUGGAUGAUUGUCUGACAGAAAGAAGAAUACACCUUUAGGAUAACUAUGUGUGAGGUUGUUUGGGCCAAUAAGCGAAAAUAAAGAGUUCCCAGCCCCAUUUCAAACUGAAGUGUUUUAAGAAUAUGAAAUGUACCUGAUGGAAUCUUAGAUGGCUAUUUUUCCUCUGACAUAACUAAAAUGACUCAUGUGUGGCCAAACUUCUUCAAUAUAAAACUAAUCACUUCCUCAAACCA